This 482-nucleotide long non-coding RNA is filed under the name Carica papaya (papaya). Its description in RNAcentral is "long non-coding RNA (CPAP_LNC013003)". Lineage: Eukaryota; Viridiplantae; Streptophyta; Magnoliopsida; Brassicales; Caricaceae. The record is from RNAcentral.
UUGUGUCAUCUAAGUCAACUGGCCAAAGAAGGAGGCAUGAAUUCUAAGAGGGCGAUGUGCGGGGCUCAAGGUGUCACACAUGUUGUCUAAUUCUACAGCACAGUAUGCUACUCUAUCCGCUCAGACAGCAUGCUAAUGAGCAUGCACGGUGUGGUCCGCGUCGCAGGCCAUCUUGUGCCGUCGUGUCGCACAAGUGCGCGCAGAGCCACGCGCAUGAUGCUAAGUGUCUAUGCACGGGAUCUAUGCGCUAGGUGAGUACCAAGCAGCAUGCUUGACGUGUGCAUCUGCGCGUAGGAUUCACGUGCAGAUUGGGCGGGUCAUGGGCAUCCUGGUCCAUGGGACGUGCACCUACGUUCACAUCCUGCGAGCAGUUCUGCGUGGGCAUGCGAGCGUCUCAUACGGUCGUGCUUUCCUGCAGCAUCAACCUCUCCCCUUUUUUUUUCUCCUUUUUUUUAACGUCUUUCAUAACAUAAAAUAAAUUA